UACGUAGGGCGCAAGCGUUAUCCGGAAUUAUUGGGCGUAAAGAGCUCGUAGGCGGUUUGUCGCGUCUGCCGUGAAAGUCAGGGGCUCAACCCUUGAAUGCCGGCGGAUACUGUCGGGCUAGAGUCCGGAAGAGGCGAGUGGAAUUCCCGGUGUAGCGGUGAAAUGCGCAGAUAUCGGGAGGAACACCUAUGGCGAAGGCAGCUCGCUGGGACGGUACUGACGCUGAGACGCGAAAGCGUGGGGAGCAAACAGG
RNAcentral lists this ribosomal RNA (253 nucleotides) under uncultured bacterium. RNAcentral describes it as "partial 16S ribosomal RNA". It matches the Rfam family "Bacterial small subunit ribosomal RNA", at positions 524 to 776 of the family's 1533-position model. The record is from RNAcentral.